UGUGGCUUAGUGGCAGAGCACUUGCCUAGUAUGUGCAAGACCCUGGGUUCAAUCCCCAGCA
RNAcentral lists this transfer RNA (61 nucleotides) under Ictidomys tridecemlineatus (thirteen-lined ground squirrel). RNAcentral's name for it is "Spermophilus tridecemlineatus (thirteen-lined ground squirrel) tRNA". It matches the Rfam family "tRNA", at positions 6 to 65 of the family's 71-position model. Rfam says of the family: Transfer RNA (tRNA) molecules are approximately 80 nucleotides in length. Lineage: Eukaryota; Metazoa; Chordata; Mammalia; Rodentia; Sciuridae. The record is from Rfam by way of RNAcentral.